This 301-nucleotide ribosomal RNA is filed under the name uncultured bacterium. RNAcentral describes it as "partial 16S ribosomal RNA". It matches the Rfam family "Bacterial small subunit ribosomal RNA", at positions 509 to 807 of the family's 1533-position model. The record is from RNAcentral.
CAGCAGCCACGGGAAUACGUAGGGUGCGAGCGUUAAUCGGAAUUACUGGGCGUAAAGCGUGCGCAGGCGGUUCGUUAAGACAGAUGUGAAAUCCCCGGGCUUAACCUGGGAACUGCAUUUGUGACUGGCGAGCUAGAGUAUGGCAGAGGGGGGUAGAAUUCCACGUGUAGCAGUGAAAUGCGUAGAGAUAUGGAGGAAUACCGAUGGCGAAUGCAGCCCCCUGGGCCAAUACUGACGCUCAUGCACGAAAGCGUGGGGAGCAAACAGGAUUAGAUACCCCUGUAGUCCCUGUCUCUUAUAC